Molecule: transfer RNA, 780 nt
Filed under: uncultured cyanobacterium
Lineage: Bacteria; Bacillati; Cyanobacteriota
Description: partial 16S-23S ribosomal RNA intergenic spacer
Rfam family: tRNA (bases 183-256)
Source: RNAcentral
CAGGGAGACAAAAACUGAUCUUGAUGUCUGAGUAAUUUAUUCUUAGACCAUGAUCCUGUCACGUUAGGUCGAUCGGUACCUCAAGUUGAGAGCUAAACAAAACUAAGAAAUUAGUCUUUAGAUUGGUAAUUAACUUCAGUUCCUAAACUUUUGUCUAGGUCACACCCCGCAAGGGUACUCCUGGGCCAUUAGCUCAGGUGGUUAGAGCGCACCCCUGAUAAGGGUGAGGUCCCUGGUUCAAGUCCAGGAUGGCCCAUUCGGUGUUGGGGGUAUAGCUCAGUUGGUAGAGCGCCUGCUUUGCAAGCAGGAUGUCAGGAGUUCGAGUCUCCUAACCUCCACUGACCGAACUUGAUUCCCAUCUCCAAUUUUUUUGGAGUUGAGCUCGAUUGGAGUGUGAUUUAGAUGUGUCCGCUGGAUGACCCCAGCUUCCUGUCAUUCCAAAUGAAAUCAGCAAUGUUUGCUUGAUGAAUUUGGUUGAUAAGAUGCUGGGCUCGGAUCAAAUGAUCAAGCAAUUGAUGAUUUGAUUUGAAGUUCUAGCAGAACCUUGACAACUGCAUAGGUGAGUCUGGAAAAAACAAAGUAUCUUACAGAUGCAUUGUUUUGAAUCUGAUCUUUUGAAAGGGAGAUUGGAUCUAGAACAAUGAAAAUUCUUUUGAGCAAGAGCCGAGACUCUUGAAUGUUCUUUGAUUGGUGACGAGCCAAUCAGAGUUUGAUCUUGUUUUUAGCAAUAAAAACUUGAGAAUCUGCUUUCAACGGCGGUAAGCGUUCAAGAGGUUAAUU